AUGUCUGCCGUCACACCAUGCUUCGCCGCGAGGUCCAGCAUCUCCUGGGUGUCCCUCAUGCCGCCGAUGAAGCUCCCGGCCAGGGUCUUAUGGGAGGACUUACUGGCAACCAGAGCAAAGGGAGGGACCUCGAUAGGCUUCUCUGGGAGGCCGACCAUGACCAUCUUGCCGUUGGGCUUGAGUAGCCCGAAGAGAGGGGCCAUGGGGAUGUUUGCAGACACCGUGUUUAUGAUGCCAUCCAUGGUGCUCAUCGCAGCCUGCAAACUGCUGACAACGAAGCCGUCGGCGCCUAGCCUCUCGAGGGCCUCCUGCUUCUUCCCCGGCGAUGAGCUGAUCACCGUCACCUUCAUCCCGAAGGCCUUGCCGAACUUGACGGCGACGUGA
RNAcentral lists this ribosomal RNA (384 nucleotides) under Triticum aestivum (bread wheat). Its description in RNAcentral is "partial small subunit ribosomal RNA". Lineage: Eukaryota; Viridiplantae; Streptophyta; Magnoliopsida; Poales; Poaceae. The record is from RNAcentral.